GUCGGGGCGGCUCCAGGUUGGUAGUGCAUGAGACUUUUAAUCGUAGGGUCGUCGGUUCAAGCCCCACCUUGGGCA
Non-coding RNA from Podarcis lilfordi (Lilford's wall lizard), 75 nucleotides. Lineage: Eukaryota; Metazoa; Chordata; Lepidosauria; Squamata; Lacertidae. The record is from the annotation of a GenBank genome assembly.